GAUGAACGCUAGCUACAGGCUUAACACAUGCAAGUCGAGGGACCGGCGCACGGGUGAGUAACACGUAUCCAACCUGCCCUUUACUCGGGGAUAGCCUUUCGCAAGACAGAUUAAUACCCGAUAUAAAGGAUGGUGAUGCGUUCCAUUAGGUUGUUGGUGAGGUAAUGGCUCACCAAGCCUUCGAUGGAUAGGGGUUCUGAGAGGAAGGUCACCCACAUAGGAAGAGAGACACGGGCCAAACUCCUACAGGAGGCAGCAGGGAGGGAGAGUGGUGAAUGGGCGCUAGCCUGAACCAGCCAAGUAACGUGAAGGAUGAAGGAGUAUGGGUCGUAAACUUCUUUGAUAGAAGAAUAUGUAUUAUAUGAAUAAGGAACGGAUAACGCCGUGCCAGCAGCCGCGGUAAUUC
RNAcentral lists this ribosomal RNA (406 nucleotides) under uncultured bacterium. RNAcentral describes it as "partial 16S ribosomal RNA". It matches the Rfam family "Bacterial small subunit ribosomal RNA", at positions 28 to 526 of the family's 1533-position model. The record is from RNAcentral.